Molecule: RNA transcript, 2072 nt
Organism: Scatophagus argus
Lineage: Eukaryota; Metazoa; Chordata; Actinopteri; Scatophagidae
Gene: mybphb
Gene name: myosin binding protein Hb
Exons: 13
Source: RefSeq, a predicted model, not a curated record
CCUGCCACCCCCACACGAAUGAUGGCUUUGGAUUCAGUUUUUAAGGACUUUACCGAGUUGGGAAUUAGCUGCAACCUCCAACAUGCCGUCCAAGCCUGCCCCAAUCAAGAAGGCGGCUAAGAAAGAACCAGCCAAGAAGGAGGAGAAGGCUCCAGAACCUGCUCCAGAACCUGCACCAGAGCCCGCUCCGGAACCCGUCCCAGAGGCCGCCCCGGCAGAAGUCCCCCCAGCACCCGCGGAGGGCGAAGCUGCACCUGCUGAGGGUGCCCCUGCUGAGGGAGAGGCCCCUGCUGCCCCGCCAGCUGAGGAGCCCAAAGCUCCAACCCCUCCACCACCAGAUGCUGAAGCUGCUGAAGCGCCUGCACCAGAGGAGCCUAAACCACCCACACCUCCACCACCUCCACCCAAAGAGCCCACGAGCGCCCCGCUGGAUCUUUUUGUUGAAGACAAGAAUGACACUUCAGUUACUAUCAUCUGGAGCCAGCCAGAGGUUGUGGGACCGUCCGGUCUGGAUGGAUACACCAUUGAAGUGUGCAAGGACGGAACUGAGGACUGGAAAGCAGUCAAUGAAGAACUGCAGAAGUCCUGCCGCUACGUCAUCAAGAACCAGACCACGGGUGACCGUCUGAAGAUCCGUGUGGUGGCUGUGAAUGCAGGCGGCCGCAGCCCCCCCGUCGCCCUGCCCGAGGCUGUCCUGGUUAAGGAGGUUGCUGAUCGCCCCAAGGUCCGCUUGCCUCGUUUCCUCAGGCAGAGAUACGUCGCUCACGUUGGAGAUAAGAUCAACCUGACCAUCCCCUUCACAGGUAAACCCAAACCUGUGGUCUCCUGGGUAAAGAAUGGGCAGCCUCUGGACACAAAGAGGGUGAACAUCCGCAGCACCGAUAGAGACAGCAUCCUGUUUAUCCGUGCAGCUGAGAGAGAAGACUCUGGGGUGUAUGAGAUGUGUGUGAAGGUGGAUGACUUCGAGGACAAGGCUUCACUCACCCUUCAAAUCGUUGAGCUGCCAGGGCCUCCCGCCAGUGUAAAGAUUGUAGAUACCUGGGGCUUCAACGUUGCUCUGGAGUGGACUCCUCCCACUGACAAUGGAAACACAGACAUCACAGGUUACACAAUCCAGAAGGCUGACAAAAAGACUGGAGACUGGUUCACUGUGUUGGAGCAUUACCAUAGACUGAAUGCCACCAUCUCUGACCUCAUCAUGGGUAACACCUACAAGUUCAGAGUGUUUUCUGAAAACAAGUGUGGAAUGAGCACAGAUGCUACUGUUGCGAAGGAGGAGGCCAAGAUCCUGAAGACAGGUAUUGACUACCAGCCUCCUGAAUACAAGGAACAUGACUUCAGCGAGCCGCCCAAGUUCACCACCUCUCUGAAUGACAGAUCCACCACCGUUGGCUACAGCACCAAGCUGCUGUGCUCUGUCAGGGGAUUCCCAAAACCCCGGGUUCAGUGGUUGAAGAACCAGAUGAUUAUUGGAGAUGACCCCAAGUACAGGCAGAUCUGCGUUCAGGGUAUCUGCUCUCUGGAGAUCCGUAGGCCUGGUAACUUUGACGGAGGUGUGUACUCCUGCAAAGCCAUGAAUGAUCACGGAGAAGCAACUGUCAGCUGCAAGCUGGAGGUCAAACAGCCGACGGCUGCAGAUGCAGAAAAGAAAUAGGUCAACAUUCACAUUCUCACAGGAGCGGAAGGAAUGAGGCCUUUGCAGCAUAAGGAAGAUGCUGAGUUCCUGGAAGAAUAUGUACAUAUGGAUGGUGACCACACUGCCAAAGGGAAGUUGCCUAUGGCCUCUUGCAGAGUGUUACAGUGUGUUAUGAUGAACAAUUGGUGUCUCAUGAUGUCUUUAUUGUCCAUUACAUUAUAUUAAGUCCAUAUCCAUGCCCACAAUCAGCUUUUUCCCCUGCGAUAAUGACUAUGGUACAUAAAUUAUCAUUUCCAACACUGUUCCUUCUGAGUUUAUCAUCUUGUCAGUCUAACUAGGUGUACACCAAGAACUUUACAGCAUGAACUGGCUGUUCCUCAUAGGAGAAAUACAUUUAACAUCUACAUGUUUAUAUCAAUAAAUAAUUUAAUUUCUG